Molecule: ribosomal RNA, 439 nt
Filed under: uncultured bacterium
Lineage: Bacteria
Description: partial 16S ribosomal RNA
Rfam family: Bacterial small subunit ribosomal RNA
Source: RNAcentral
CCUACGGGAGGCUGCAGUGGGGAAUUUUGCUCAAUGGGGGCAACCCUGACGCAGCAACGCCGCGUGCGGGACGAAGGCCCUCGGGCUGUAAACCGCUUUCAGCAGGGAAGACGUCGACGGUACCUGCAGAAGAAGCCCCGGCUAACUACGUGCCAGAAGCCGCGGUAAUACGUAGGGGGCGAGGGUUAUCCGGAUUCAUUGGGCGUAAAGCGCGCGUAGGCGGCCGCCUAGGCGGAACCUCUAACCCCGGGGCUAAACCUCGGGCCGGGUUUCGGACUGGGCGGCUCGAGUGCGGUAGAGGAGGGCGGAAUUCCCGGUGUAGCGGUGGAAUGCGUAGAUAUCGGGAAGAACACCGAUGGCGAAGGCAGCUCUCUGGGCCGUCACUGACGCUGAGGCGCGAAAGCUGGGGGAGCGAACAGGAUUAGAUACCCCUGUAGUC